AACUUUUAAUAAUGGAUUUCUUAGUUCUAGUAUUAAUAAAGAACGUAGCGAAAUGUAAUAAGUAAUAUGAAUUGUAGAAUUUAGUAAAUUAUUGAAUUUUUAAAUAUAUAUUACGCUUAUUAAUAUUCUAGCGAGUAUGUUUGUUCGAGUGUUA
Neurospora crassa OR74A is the source of this 154-nucleotide ribosomal RNA. It matches the Rfam family "5.8S ribosomal RNA". From Rfam's summary of the family: 5.8S ribosomal RNA (5.8S rRNA) is a component of the large subunit of the eukaryotic ribosome. It is transcribed by RNA polymerase I as part of the 45S precursor that also contains 18S and 28S rRNA. The record is from Rfam. Lineage: Eukaryota; Fungi; Ascomycota; Sordariomycetes; Sordariales; Sordariaceae.